GCCCCUGGUGCUUCCACAGGCUGUGUUCUUACACUAAUUGUACAGAUGAAGAGGAAGAAAAGUAAGCCUGCUCCAUAUACACUUCAACCCAGGCCCUGGGCCCGGUCUGUAUCAUGAAUGGGAAGAUAUGG
Molecule: small nucleolar RNA, 131 nt
Filed under: Castor canadensis (American beaver)
Lineage: Eukaryota; Metazoa; Chordata; Mammalia; Rodentia; Castoridae
Description: Small nucleolar RNA SNORA51 (ENSCCNG00000018117.1)
Rfam family: Small nucleolar RNA SNORA51
About the family: ACA51 is a member of the H/ACA class of snoRNA that guide the sites of modification of uridines to pseudouridines.
Source: Rfam by way of RNAcentral